Molecule: ribosomal RNA, 252 nt
Filed under: uncultured bacterium
Lineage: Bacteria
Description: partial 16S ribosomal RNA
Rfam family: Bacterial small subunit ribosomal RNA
Source: RNAcentral
UACGUAGGGGGCGAGCGUUGUCCGGAUUCAUUGGGCGUAAAGAGCUCGUAGGCGGCCAACUAAGUCAUACGUGAAAUCCCUCGGCUUAACCGGGGAACUGCGUCUGAUACUGGAUGGCUUGAGUUCGGGAGAGGGAUGCGGAAUUCCAGGUGUAGCGGUGAAAUGCGUAGAUAUCUGGAGGAAUACCGGUGGCGAAGGCGGCAUCCUGGACCGACAUUGACGCUGAACGGCGAAAGCUAGGGGAGCAACGGG